UAAAACNGGUGUUUUGCUGCUGGCUCAGG
Molecule: non-coding RNA, 29 nt
Filed under: Mus musculus (house mouse)
Lineage: Eukaryota; Metazoa; Chordata; Mammalia; Rodentia; Muridae
Source: RNAcentral